Long non-coding RNA from Clupea harengus (Atlantic herring), 2298 nucleotides. Lineage: Eukaryota; Metazoa; Chordata; Actinopteri; Clupeiformes; Clupeidae. The record is from Ensembl.
UUUUUUUGGCUCCACAUUGUUUUUCCUCUUGAAUUAUUUACAGAUGUCCAGGGCUGCGGUUGUGUCAAGUACAGGUUAUAACCAUUUUUAUGGAUGAUAUGCUGUAAAUGGAAACAAGUCUCAGAAAGCCUCUAGAGUUUCCCGUCGGUCAGGACUUUGGUCAGCUCCAGAUGGGUAAUCAAAUGGCCGGGACCUUGAGAGAGAUCAAUAUGGGGCAGAAUAUGCAGUGUCACUCUUUUAGUCAUUUGGUGUACAAAGGUAGACUGAACAGGAAGUUGACCACAAUAAUAAGAAUGUAUGCGAAAUGUCUCAAGUUUUUCCUCAAUAGAGCCAGUGAUAUUUUGUCAGAGCUGCAGUCAAUCAGUUUUCUUGCAGUAUCCAUCGAGUUUAGCACCUAAUAUACACGGUGUUCAAACUGGAAUGCUGAACACAUUUUUGGUAAGUCACAGACCAGAAAGUACACUCGUUAUCUUUCAAGAUAACAAAUAUAUAACAACGCUUCUCACUGCAAAAUAUGUCAAGAUUACAUUGCAUACAGUAAUUCACUUUUUCACAUGGGUGAUCUAAAUCAUUGUUCUGCAGAUGCCGAGCAGCAGCUGUUACUAUUAUUAGAGUUGAUUUUUUUUUCUUCAUUUGAAGUAAACAUGUUUGCUCACAACAAUUUGCUGCAUCGUGAGCAGAAAGGCCUCAUAUAAAAUAAGAAUACAAUUUAAAUUCUGUAAUACAUAACAAUUGAUUUAAGUUUUCUUCAGAAUUGUUCCCUUUUGCACUACACAAUAAUCUCACGCUCAGAGAAAAUACACAGGUGACAGUAUUCCUUUUUUUUCACACACCAGUCUGUUGAGACAAGGUAGCUUUAAAGGGCUUUCAGCCAGGGCUGGCAAACAGUGGCAUCUGUGUAUUUGAACCUACAUGGAAGUAUUGCUCUCUGCACUCAAAUGUUCACACACUUGGACUGGCAGCAGCUGUGUACCUGAACCACACACCCGGAGUAAUUGUGCUUGUUUCACCAUUCAUUAAGGGCACUGGCAUGUUACGUAACUUCUAUCUAAACAUUGUCACUGGUCCCCCAAGUGUGGCUUGCAGAAUUGAAAUAGCAUGUGGUCUAUUUUAAGGUGACAUAAACUCUCCACUGAAAUGCCAUGGCCCUGCAUACUAUCUGACUAUGACUUGCAUAUGGGUUGUAGCAAUGUUCUGAGGCUGACAACUGAGGAGGGCAAUCUGCCCAUCACCACCACAGCUGAACAGCAGCAAUGGCACUGAAUGAAUCAAUAGAAAUCUAAGAGAAGUCAUUUGAGUGGUCAUGGCAAGCAACAUACAGCCAAUGUCUUCAUUUUCACAAGGACAAGUCCUUCUUCAACAAAGCACAGUGGCGGCAUGUAACGGCGAUGAACAGUGAUUUGCUGUUUUGCCGUAGCUUUUUGGUCACAGUGAUUUACCACCAUCUUCCUCCACGCACAAGGACAUGAACUGAGCUUGACAGAAGACCAGGCAAGGUAAUAAAUGUCUGCUCUUCCACUAGUCCACAGUAAAAUCCCACAAGACCCCAUUACGGAGAAACCAUGAACCUUCUGUUGCUGUGUGUCUUAGUAAGCAGAUGGAAGGAGGAUGAAUGGGAUGGGCCUGUGCGUGUGCGUGUGUCUGUGCGUGUGUCUGUGCGUGUGUCUGUGCGUGUGCGUGUCUGUGUGUCUGUGUGUGUGCGUGUCUGUGCGUGUGUCUGUGUGUGCGUGUGUCUGUCCGUGUUCGUGUGUCUGUGUCUGUGUGUCUGCGUUUCUGCGUGUCAGUUUCUGUUGACCCAAAUGAACACUGAACACACUGACAGAACGGACUGACCAAACAUGUUCAUAACCUCCAUGGCCAGAGCUGAGUUAUGCCUCCAGCUGUUUUUCCUCAUCUGACAGUUAAAGGACAACACUUAUCAGCCAGGGUGAGUGGAAUGAGGUGCAACAGCCAAUGAGAGCAAAGCCAAGAAGCAGAAGCAGUGAAAUGACCCUACACGCUGAUGUCAUGAGGGCACGAAAGAUAAGUUGCCCCAUUCCUGUCUACUUGUCAUGUUCAACAGCCAGGCAGGCUGCUUCAAACCGACAGUUCCUGUGAAAACACACAAUGAAUUUGAACACAGCAAUGGCAGAGACACUGUUUCCUCUGUAAAGUGUUUGUAUUAACAUGAGCCCUUCCCUCACAUUAGAGUGCUCCGCCCAAGGUCCAUCUGUAGAAAUCCUCUCCCCAACUGGACAGCUGUCACAUUCCCAUCCAAGAGGGUGUGUGUGUGAUACUGCAUUUCCCGCCCCUCUCCUC